GACGAACGCUGGCGGUGCGCCUUAUGCAUGCAAGUCGAGCGAAGCUUUUCAGUAGUUUACUACAGAAAAUGACUGAGCGGCGAACGGGUGAGUAACGCGUGAGCAAUCUACCUUAGUUACUGGGAUAGCCCGAGGAAACUCGGAUUAAUACCGGAUAAUCUUAUUACAUCACAUGAUAUUUUAAGUAAAGGUCAGCCGAACUAAGAUGAGCUCGCGUUCUAUCAGCUUGUUGGUGGGGUAAAAGCCUACCAAGGCUACGACGGAUAGCUGGUCUGAGAGGACGAUCAGCCACACUGGGACUGAGACACGGCCCAGACUCCUACGGGAGGCUGCAGCAGGGAAUAUUGCGCAAUGAGCGAAAGCUUGACGCAGCGACACCGCGUGUGGGAUGACGGUUCUAGGAUAGGAACCACUUUA
This 417-nucleotide ribosomal RNA is filed under the name uncultured bacterium. RNAcentral's name for it is "bacterial SSU rRNA". It matches the Rfam family "Bacterial small subunit ribosomal RNA", at positions 28 to 437 of the family's 1533-position model. The record is from RNAcentral.